UACAGAGGCCCCAAGCGUUGUUCGGAUUCACUGGGCGUAAAGGGUGCGCAGGUGGCAUGGUAAGUUUGGUGUGAAAGCUUCGGGCUUAACCCGGAAAUGGCAUUGAAUACUACUGUGCUGGAGGAUUGGAGGGGGGACUGGAAUUCUUGGUGUAGCAGUGAAAUGCGUAGAUAUCAAGAGGAACACCAGUGGCGAAGGCGAGUCCCUGGACAAUUCCUGACACUGAGGCACGAAAGCCAAGGGAGCAAACAGG
Molecule: ribosomal RNA, 253 nt
Filed under: uncultured bacterium
Lineage: Bacteria
Description: partial 16S ribosomal RNA
Rfam family: Bacterial small subunit ribosomal RNA
Source: RNAcentral